AUGAAAGUGGAGGAAGAAAGUGUUUUCUUUUUCACACUUUCUUUCAAUUUCCAACUAGCAAGUUUGUUUUUAAAGUUUGAUUGUUUUUUAUUCUUUUAUUCUUUUUUCUUUUUUCUUAAAAAAAUUCAUACACAAAUAAAGGAGAAGAAUGGGGGCUGUCUCCCCAUGCUUUUUAUUUUAAUUUUAUUAUUUAUUUUUAUUGAUUAA
Molecule: non-coding RNA, 207 nt
Organism: Vicia faba (fava bean)
Lineage: Eukaryota; Viridiplantae; Streptophyta; Magnoliopsida; Fabales; Fabaceae
Source: the annotation of a GenBank genome assembly